Molecule: ribosomal RNA, 467 nt
Filed under: uncultured bacterium
Lineage: Bacteria
Description: partial 16S ribosomal RNA
Rfam family: Bacterial small subunit ribosomal RNA
Source: RNAcentral
AUGAACGCUGGCGGCGUGCUUAACACAUGCAAGUCGAACGGUGAUGCUCCAGCUUGCUGGAGUGGAUCAGUGGCGAACGGGUGAGUAACACGUGAGCAACCUGCCCCAGACUCUGGAAUAAGCGCUGGAAACGGCGUCUAAUACUGGAUACGAAACUGGCCCGCAUGGGCAUGGUUUGGAAAGUUUUUCGGUUUGGGAUGGGCUCGCGGCCUAUCAGCUUGUUGGUGAGGUAAUGGCUCACCAAGGCGACGACGGGUAGCCGGCCUGAGAGGGCGACCGGCCACACUGGGACUGAGACACGGCCCAGACUCCUACGGGAGGCAGCAGUGGGGAAUAUUGCACAAUGGGCGAAAGCCUGAUGCAGCGACGCCGCGUGAGGGAUGACGGCCUUCGGGUUGUAAACCUCUUUCAGCAGGGAAGAAGCGAAAGUGACGGUACCUGCAGAAGAAGCACCGGCUAACUACGUG